GGCAACGGAGCGCCGAAACAUGCUGCACAAAGUCAAUGGGGAAACAAUCAGUAGGAUUCUACUGUAAAAUAGCGAAGCGCUGCAAAGUCUGUGUGAACGAAAAGGCACUUUAUAUACAAAGAAAUGUCGGCGAAGCAGAGACACACAAAUCACAAUCAACUCCUGGAACAGCGGUGGAAGAAAGUGCAACAACAGCGACUCCAUUUACCAAUGCCAAUUGGCUUCCUACAAAGUGGCAGCUCCAUGGCUGUGUCCCAAGCAGUGGAGGCUUACAAGCUGAACAAAGAGAGGGGGAGAAUUGUGCGCAGCCCAUCACCAAAGCCUCAAUUCCCUUCCAGUAUGCAAAGUGAAGAUCGGAAGCACAGA
This is a long non-coding RNA of Hippocampus comes (tiger tail seahorse), 366 nucleotides long. RefSeq lists it as uncharacterized. Lineage: Eukaryota; Metazoa; Chordata; Actinopteri; Syngnathiformes; Syngnathidae. The transcript has 4 exons. The record is from RefSeq and is a predicted model, not a curated record.